RNAcentral lists this long non-coding RNA (514 nucleotides) under Brassica rapa (field mustard). Its description in RNAcentral is "long non-coding RNA (BRAP_LNC008563)". The record is from RNAcentral. Lineage: Eukaryota; Viridiplantae; Streptophyta; Magnoliopsida; Brassicales; Brassicaceae.
AAAUAUUAUGUUUCCAAAACGUCCGUCUCAUGAAUCUAAGGCAUCUUCUAACUAUGGUCGACCAACUUAUUCGACCCAUAGUUAACUCACGAUCACUUCUUCGCCCACCUCGUACUUCAAAACUUCUCGAUCGAUCCAUAUCGCCCGCGACUCGACCACCACAAAGAUACUCGACCAUUUCUUUUUUUUUUUUUAACGGGUUUCUACAACGGACAUCCUGCGUGUGCUGACGGACAUCCUGCGUGUGCUGACGGACGUCCUGUGUGUGCUGACGGACGUCCUGUGUGCACUGACGGACACACGGACACACACGGACAGCCACAGACGUCCUGCGUGUGCUGACGGACGUCCUGUGUGUACUGAACAGACAGCCCACGUGGGCCAAAAUCACCCGAACAGUCCACGGAGCGUGCUGAUAUGUGUACUGAUGGACAGCCGGACGUCCUUUGUGUGCUGACGGACGGCCACAGACGUCCUGUGUGUGCUGACGGACACACACGGACGUCCGUGUGUG